UACGUAGGGUGCAGGCGUUGUCCGGAAUUAUUGGGCGUAAAGAGCUCGUAGGCGGUCUGUCGCGUCGGCUGUGAAAACCCGGGGCUCAACCCCGGGCCUGCAGUCGAUACGGGCAGACUAGAGUGCGGUAGGGGAGACUGGAAUUCCUGGUGUAGCGGUGAAAUGCGCAGAUAUCAGGAGGAACACCGGUGGCGAAGGCGGGUCUCUGGGCCGUAACUGACGCUGAGGAGCGAAAGCGUGGGGAGCGAACAGG
RNAcentral lists this ribosomal RNA (253 nucleotides) under uncultured bacterium. RNAcentral's name for it is "partial 16S ribosomal RNA". It matches the Rfam family "Bacterial small subunit ribosomal RNA", at positions 524 to 776 of the family's 1533-position model. The record is from RNAcentral.